AGAGUUUGAUCAUGGCUCAGAAUCAACGCUGGCGGCGUGCCUAACACAUGCAAGUCGAACGAGAAAAUGGAGCAAUCCAUGAGUAAAGUGGCGCACGGGUGAGUAACACGUGACUAACCUACCCUUGAGUGGGGGAUAACCUGGGGAAACCUUGGCUAAUACCGCAUAACACCUACGGGUCAAAGGAGCAAUUCGCUUAAGGAGGGGGUCGCGGCAGAUUAGUUAGUUGGCGGGGUAAUGGCCCACCAAGACAGUGAUCUGUAUCCGGCCUGAGAGGGCGCACGGACACACUGGAACUGAAACACGGUCCAGACUCCUACGGGAGGCAGCAGUGGGGAAUUUUGCGCAAUGGGGGAAACCCUGACGCAGCAACGCCGCGUGGAGGAUGAAGUCCCUUGGGACGUAAACUCCUUUCGACCGGGACGAUAAUGACGGUACCGGAAGAAGAAGCCCCGGCUAACUUCGUGCCAGCAGCCGCGGUAAUACGAGGGGGGCGAGCGUUGUUCGGAAUUAUUGGGCGUAAAGGGUGCGUAGGCGGUUCGGUAAGUUUUGUGUGAAAUCUUCGGGCUUAACUCGAAGCCUGCACAAGAUACUGCCGGGCUAGAGUGUGGGAGAGGUGAGUGGAAUUUCCGGUGUAGCGGUGAAAUGCGUAGAUAUCGGAAGGAACACCUGUGGCGAAAGCGGCUCACUGGACCACAACUGACGCUGAUGCACGAAAGCUAGGGGAGCAAACAGGAUUAGAUACCCUGGUAGUCC
This 756-nucleotide ribosomal RNA is filed under the name uncultured bacterium. RNAcentral's name for it is "bacterial SSU rRNA". It matches the Rfam family "Bacterial small subunit ribosomal RNA", at positions 8 to 796 of the family's 1533-position model. The record is from RNAcentral.